Long non-coding RNA from Tyto alba (common barn owl), 493 nucleotides. RefSeq lists it as uncharacterized. The record is from RefSeq and is a predicted model, not a curated record. The transcript is spliced from 2 exons. Lineage: Eukaryota; Metazoa; Chordata; Aves; Strigiformes; Tytonidae.
CGGGGGGACACACCGCUGAGGGUCCAAAUCACAGCUGCUGCUGCAUGAGCUGGGUAGGAAUCAACCCCAAGGAGCCUACUAAUCCUUGUUUCACAAGUCCCUGCUGGCGAUGGUGGAAAACAUUCCGGAAUGGAUUUAAAUGUGACCAUCAUGAUAUACCAGAUUAUUGUUACCGAUAAAUCCUCUCAACAUAGUUGUUCUUACAGUAUAGUUAACUGUUGUCGUACUGCAUGCUGUAGGACUUCUGAUUUAGCAGAUUGAAAGAAUGAUCUCAUUAUCUCCCAGAUUCAGUAUACAAUAGUUACUCAGUCCUUAGCCAAAAGAAUGAUAGGCUGAGUUGCUGCAAUCUGGAGAUAGGGCAAGAGGACUAAUUAAUCUUCUGUUACUGAAACACUGGAUUAGUUGAAAUCGCUCUGCUGUAAGAAACCAGAAGAUGCUGCAACUAUAGAUACAAGAAAAUAAUUAAAAAUCUAAAAGAUACGAAAAAAUUAAA